AUACGGAGGAUCCGAGCGUUAUCCGGAUUUAUUGGGUUUAAAGGGUGCGCAGGCGGCCAUUUAAGUCAGCGGUUAAAUCGUGGGGCUCAACCCCAUUCUGCCGUUGAUACUGGGUGGCUUGAUUGCGGUCGAGGUUGGCGGAAUUCGUUGUGUAGCGGUGAAAUGCAUAGAUAUGACGAAGAAAACCGAUUGCGUAGGCAGCUGACCAGACCGCAAAUGACGCUCAUGCACGAAAGUGCGGGGAUCGAACAGGAUUAGAUACCCUGGUAGUCCGCACAGUAAACGAUGAAUACUUGUUUUCGGCGAUAUAAUGUCGGAGGCAAAGCGAAAGCGAUAAGUAUUCCACCUGGGGAGUACGCCGGAAACGGUGAAACUCAAAGGAACUGACGGG
RNAcentral lists this ribosomal RNA (391 nucleotides) under uncultured bacterium. RNAcentral's name for it is "partial 16S ribosomal RNA". It matches the Rfam family "Bacterial small subunit ribosomal RNA", at positions 523 to 917 of the family's 1533-position model. The record is from RNAcentral.